AAAAAGAUAAUAUUAUUUCCGUAGACAGUAGGUGCUAUUGCAUAACGUAUAACAACCUACCGAGGUACCAAUAAAGUUAGUUAUGUUUACUUUAGGUCUUCCUUGUCUACGGGAAGACCUUUAUUAAUAUUAAG
Regulatory RNA element from Clostridium paraputrificum, 134 nucleotides. It matches the Rfam family "Ribosomal protein L10 leader". From Rfam's summary of the family: This family is a putative r-protein leader autoregulatory structure found in B. subtilis and other low-GC Gram-positive bacteria. It is located in the 5' untranslated regions of mRNAs encoding ribosomal proteins L10 and L12 (rplJ-rplL). A Rho-independent transcription terminator structure that is probably involved in regulation is included at the 3' end. The record is from Rfam. NCBI's taxonomy places the organism in Bacteria, Bacillati, Bacillota, Clostridia, Eubacteriales, Clostridiaceae.